RNAcentral lists this ribosomal RNA (484 nucleotides) under uncultured bacterium. RNAcentral describes it as "partial 16S ribosomal RNA". It matches the Rfam family "Bacterial small subunit ribosomal RNA", at positions 30 to 507 of the family's 1533-position model. The record is from RNAcentral.
AUUGAACGCUGGCGGCAUGCCUAACACAUGCAAGUCGAGCGGGUGAAGGGUGUUUGCUCCUGGAUUCAGCGGCGGACGGGUGAGUAAUGUCUAGGAAUCUGCCUGGGAGUAGGGGAUAACGUCCGGCAACGUGCGCUAAUACCGCAUACGGCCUGAGGGGGAAGGUGGGGGAUCUUCGUACCUCACGCUAUCAGAUGAGCCUAGGUCGGAUUAUCUAGUUGGUGGGGUAAAGGCCGACCAAGGCGACGAUCCGUAACUGGUCUGAGAGGAUGAUGAGUCACACUGGAACUGAGACACGGUCCGGAAUCCUAGGGGAAGCAGCAGUGGGGACAGUUGGUCAAUGGGCGAAGGACUGAACGAACCACGCAGCGUGUGUGACGAAGUGGUGCGGGUUGUAAAGCAGGGUAUGUUGGGAGGAAGGGCAGUAAGUUGAUACGUGGCUGUGUUGACGUGUACACAAGAAAUAGCGCCGGCUAACUUCGUG